UCCCUUAUUCCCUCCACCCAUAUACAUGUAUAUCCCAUCCAUGUACACGUUACCCAAGAUUGCAUGAAAUUUCUUUGGUGCAAAAGCCGAUUCCAAAAAGCAAGAAAGCAACAGUUAGAGUAAACAAUUUCCCUUUGUUCCAGAAUCCUUCACAUCCUUAUGUAACCGGGCUCUAUAUCAUGCAGCCUGACUAGCGGUGGGAUUCAAAUAUGUGAACAACCAGUUUUCUGUGUGGAUGCCGCUUCCAGAAGUCCAUUCUGGGCCUGAGCAACAAAAAAUUAGCUACCAUUUCUGCCAAAUUGGUGCAAACUGGCUGAAUCACUGUAUUUGGAUGUGUUGUAGGGCAAAAUGGUAGAUACAGGGAAGUUCUUUUUUUUAUUUUGGAGACCCAGGUGUUGGACAAUACACAGUCUUCUAGAUUCUUCAGGCUUAUACACAGUUCUGUUUUAAGAGCUCUUCUGAAUCCUAGAUUCGAUGCAUUUUGAAUUUUUUUUUUCCUGGUAGAUUUCCAUCGCUGUGAGAAAGCUAUGAAUGCCAAAGGCUCUGAUCCCUAUGUCUUGUCAGUGGUACAAAAAAGUAUACUCAUCCCUGUGCCCUUCUUUUGGGGAUAUACUUGAGAAGCAUAAUUGUAUGGAAGAGUUACAGUUCUAACGGAUCACUCUUAUUGAGAAAUGGUGAUCAAAGGAAUGUCCUGUUCUUUUGCAAGUUGACAACUGGGAUGAACUUCAGGGAAAUGGCUGUUUUCCAGGCAAAAUCUGAUAGUCUUUUGUCUGCCAGUACCUCCUCCUUCUCAGGAUGUUGCACUGCUGAGUCCUUUCUAUGUGUACAUCUGAAGGAUUGUCUGAAAUGGCUGUUAUCUUCUUGAUCAUCUGAAUCAUUUAAUAGUACAAAUCUUGGAUAUUACCCAUUCUAAUAAAAUGCAUAAUACCCA
This is a long non-coding RNA of Crotalus tigris (Tiger rattlesnake), 931 nucleotides long. RefSeq lists it as uncharacterized. The record is from RefSeq and is a predicted model, not a curated record. Lineage: Eukaryota; Metazoa; Chordata; Lepidosauria; Squamata; Viperidae. The transcript has 2 exons.